UGUUGAACAGUUCUGAAGGAAAGGGGCAUCACACAGAGACAUAUUUCACAUGAAAUUACAGCCUCAUUCCUCUCCCCUUUCACUUUUCCAUUUAUCAGUUCUAUCCUCCUGCUCUCCCCCCCCACACGCCCCUGGAAUUAUUGAUGAUUAUGAAAGAGCAUGAAGUCUUCAUAAUAAGGAACAUUUUCGUCCAUUAUCUGGAGAAUAAUAUGGUUUAUUCAAUACAUUCCCUCGGAGAAAAAAAAAAAAGAAAGAAAAAAAAGAAACCCCAAAACGUUUAGGUCUGCUGUAAAUAGAUGCUUUUUUCCCAGGACAACAGAUUGCGCUGAACGACUCAGUUUUCUUUUGGGAUUAUAAAGGUACAGAACAGUUCUGUCUGGGGAUGGUGGUUUUCCUUGAGGCAAAUGCUGACCAACACGUGGUGCCCGCUGCUGGUGUUAACAGGAGUAGACACCGUUCCCCGUUGGGCCCUUCCCUAGCAGAGCCCUCAGCAGCCUCUGCAAGCAGAGGGAAGUGAGGAAGCUUCAGUUUGCGUGCUGCAGAGGUAUGGAGCUGUCCUACCCCGAACCCGGCUGAGGAGGAAGGCCGCAUUCCCACGCAGUGGGACAGCAGAGCGGGAGGCCGUAGGAGAACCUUAGCAACGACGGCACGGUCCCCUUCUUACCGCUCCUCAGAAACGAGAGAAGCAAUUGCACAGCAGCCUCGCCUGUCCGUGAGAGGUACUGCAUGAGAAGCACGCAAGAGUGGAGCGACCUCAGUCAGCUCGUCACUGCCUUUUCUAAAGGCAGGCAGCCACAGCAGAAUGCCCCUCGAAUCGCUGCAGACAGAAGCCAGAUUUCUGUAGGACCGGACAGUUCGUUCUGUAAACCCACAGCAUCCACACAGGGAUCUCUGCCAACGGCCACUGGCAGGAACACUACCGGCUUCUUCAGGCUUGCGGGGCAAAGUCGGUUAGGUUUGCAAGGAAGAACAAGCUGAAAUAAAACUGCACAGAUCAGUGUGCCUUGCCUUAAUUAAACUGUGCGACCGUCACACAGCUGACACCUCCAAUGCGGACACAAAGGAGUCACAUAUGUGCCCCGGUUAAUGGCGCUUUGUUUUCUGACAGAACUUUUCAGGUGGAGCUUUAUGGGGUGAGCCUCCGUUCAAUGGGCGCCAGAAGCUGCCCCAUGUGGGACCAGGUCUCCUCAGCUGCUGGAUGUGUUCCAGAAGGCACUUGAAAAGUCAAGAUUGCCAAGAGAAUAAUUGGAAAAGAUGUGCGUGUUUUUCUGAGUCUGUGAUUUUUUGUUUUGCCACCCAGCCUGAGUGUGCUACGAAGGAGCCUGCCGCCUUGUGUGCUCUGUGCACUCACAGGACAGGCAGGAGAGCGUGUUCUAAAUAGCCCUCAGCCCCAGAGUGCCCUGCUCUCUGCCCAGUGGCUGUAGCUACUGCUGCCAGUGAGCUCCAGCCAGUCUGGAGACACGUGGGGCUCUGGUCAGUUUUGAAUGGUGGCCAUAAAGCCAAGGUAGUGUUGGUAUGUCUUUGCAAGAGGAUGGAUAUGCAUACACAUACAUAUAUCAACACAGCAGAGAAAGAAGAACAAAGGCAGAAUGCAAUGGAUCCACCCCAGCAAGACUGCAGCCAUUGCCCCUCUCAUCUUCCGCCCCGUCUCUGAAGGCCUCUCAGCACUCUGAGCAUACAAAUGCCCUCCUGCAAAGUGGGCUCCAAUGGGUUCUGCACCGAAGCAAGGAAGUUCAGCGCACGAGCAGCCUGCAAGAUCAGCCCUCUGGGACAAGCAGUCUGUGCUCAGUGUCAGACACAUCAGGGAGCCGAAAUUGAAAAGCUAGUCCAGUGCUUGCUGGGCACAGGGCUUCCAUGACGUGAUUUCAAAUGGCUAUGUUGCUUUUACACUUGACAGUAAAGCAUAAGCACCUGACUGAUUACAUGGUGUUUUUUUCUCCAAAAAGGGGGGGGGGGAAAUCUAUCAGUGCUGUGCUGCAUUUUUAACGUUGCCAGACCUGAAGUAAUGAAUGUUUGCUGUGGGUGUUUCAGGACCACUCUGUCCGCUCAGUGUUUGUGAAUGUACGAUCGUUGCUUUCCUCUGACAGAUAAUUAAUGGGUUCUCAGAGAGAAUCUGCUUUCUAGAGGUGAGAAAAAUGAUUUAUGCAAAGAAACAACAGCAAACAUGGCUGUAAAGGAAAUAUACACAUUUGGCUUGGAUUAUGAGAGAGAAAACCUUUCAGCAAGCAAAGUGCUGUUGGCUCAGGCUGUUUCUGAGUAGAAAAAAAUACCUGUAAUUUUUCCUUUGUUCUAUUGCUCGUGAUAUGGAGACUUCAGAUUUAAAGUUAUUUUCUCCAUGCCUGCUUUUAUCAAUACGAUAUCUUUCCAAUGACCUCGUUCAUCCUGGCUGCAUAACAUUGUGCCAUUUGCAACCCAUUACGGCAUGUUUUUCCAAUGAUUGGCAAUAGAGUGCAAUAUAAAGUUGUUUAUAAGGCAGCUUCUUGAGUAUAUGGCUUAGCAGAAGUAAAAGAUAUUGAAAAUAAAUGCUUCCAGAGCCAUCAUCUUUUUUAUUUGCUCAUAAAACUGUUUUGGAACUUGAAUAUUAAAGUGUAAAAUUUAAGCCAAAUUGAAGUGCUGAAAUGUUUACUGAGAGCCAUAUUUUAGGACCAAGUAACUUCAAAAGCAUUAAGAAAACAAAAAAACGGGAUUUGAGGACAGAGCAGGAAAACCCAAACAGCGUGGCUUAGCUACAAAACACUGCGUUCACUGAGAGUGGGAAAGCAGUAAAUAGCCCACUCAUAAGGGCACUUCACAUUGACAAACCCCAGCGAACGCAAGAGGCUGAGAGCCACAUUCAAGCCCCUUUGAACGUCAGGUGAAAAAUAUGAAGCCAAUGCACACAGACUUUUCCUUAGAAGAAGCAAGUCUCUGCCAGUUUACGGUCGUGGAACUUUGCUAAUUUCAGUACAGGGCUCGGAUGGCAUCUGCAAGUGAUCUGCAUUUAGCAACGCUCCCAGGAAGCGAGUGUGCUGGUAUGCCUGUGUGAUGGACAACUUGCUUUGAACAGGUAUUUGUAACAGGCUUUGCCAUCAGAUUUUGCUGUCCCUCCUUUCUGGGAUGGGAAACGAUCCCCACGAGGUGCUCUGUGCUGUGUUGGGCAAUUCUGUUGCUUUCCACAUCUUCCACUGUUUUUGCAUCGCUGUGAAAAAAGAAAAAAAAAGCAGCACGAAGUGGAAAAAGCUCAUGUUUUCAUAGAGAGCACAGAGGCAGUUCCUGUCAGUCUAUAGAGCACACUGUGCAUGAUGGCCCAACUAUUUUUCUUUCCUGCAAAAAAGAUUCCCUUGAGCAAUCCCAGCUCCAAACCAGUUGGCAACCAGCAGCAGCCGAGCGCUCCAGACCGUGCUGCAUCACAAUACAGUUACAACUAUUUAAAACCCAAUUAAUUCUCUUUCGUACUUUCCCAUCAAGCUGUAAAGCUCCAGUUGGCAAGGCUUUUCGCUUUGAUUUUGAGUUCCUGCUUGGAAGAUUAACUGAAAAUGGAUUUGGCUUGAAUAGUCGCAGCGAACACAUUUUGGUUUAUUUUGUUGCCAUCUCGAAUAACAAUACUUAGCACUCUUCGUCUUCAAAGCAUUAUACAAACAUUGAGUCACAUCCCUCACAACGCUGCUGUGACAUCACCUCCUGUAAAUAAAGCCAUUCUCCUCGCAGGAGGUGGAGGCUGAGCAAGGGCCUGGCGACUUGUGCAGGGUGACAGGAAGAGAAGGGCAGAGGUGGAUGUAGAAGCCAGGGGUUUGCAAGAGCCUUCAGCCCCUGAGUUAAUCGUCUCCACUCCUUCCCUCACCCUCAAGGAGAGGUGAGAAGGUGUGCCACAGCCAUGCUGACCCUCUGGAGCAGGGCACGUCCAGCAAGGGUGUACACCUCUCUCUCCAAGCUCUGCUCUGCUCUCUGCCAGUCACCCCAGAGCACUCUAGCAAUGUACUCUCAGUGAGGAGGUUUGCUCCUGUGAAAGCUUCCUGACUUCUAGGCUGACCAAAGCUGUCCCUUGCCCUGACAAGGCUGUGAUCUGGCAACGCUUGGCAAAGACCCUCUCCUCCUUGCUCAGCAAUACAGGUUCACAGCAAGGUCUGUGCUACGAGGUCUCUCCUGCCCUGCUCAGCAAAUGAGAAGCAUGCAGGGUUUGAACAGGGCACAGUUUGUACACGGCUAACACACUGGGCCUUCCCUGACAUGGGACCUGUGUGCCUGAAUUAGGAGCCUCAGGUCGCUCUGUACUCAAUAGAGAAAGGUGAGUCCUUUCAGGGGUAAUUCCAAGACGUUAAUUUAGGCUCUGGUGACUACAGAGAGAGCCUGUGCUCCUAAAUUAGACAUCUAAAUCAGCAGUCUGUGUGAAGCAGAUUUUGUGUGAAUAUAGCCCUACAAAUACAUACUCUGCAGUACCGUGAAGUGAACUAAUGUCAAACACGCAGAGCGUGUAGUUCUCAUAGCUUCUUCUCUUGAAGAAAACUGACAGAGCAAAUAUACAUUUUAUGUUCCUUUGGACAUCUUGUUUUCUCCCUCAUUUGGCUUCUUCCUAAACACGUGAAGAGAUAUUUCAGACUAAAAGAAUUGGAUUACUCUCUAUGAAGCUGUAAUGUUACCCACAGAUCUCUUGCUAAACAUUCCAAGGCACAAGCAAGGCAACUGCAUCUCCUAAGGAGCAUGACAGGUGUGUGGAAACCAAAUUGAGCAGGUUUUGUUGCAUUUAUGCCUCUCCCUGUGGUCUUGUACCCUUAUUUCUAGACCUGAAGGUGUUGUGAAGAAAUCACAUCACCAAGAGGCUGAAUGAGCCAGAAAUGAAGACACUGGCCUAGGGUCAUACCCAGGCCCGUUAUUUCUGCUGCAUGGCUUAGAACAAGUUAUUGCACCUCCAUUCCUUUCAGGAGGUAGCCUUGGUCUCAGGAGAUGCUCAGGUGCUUCCUAUAACAAAUCCUAGUGCUGUUUUUUGAGUUAUGUGAAAAUUGUUGGUAGAAUUCUCAACAGUGUUACCCAAACAGCAGAGCUGAGGCCUGCUGGUGGGCAACAUAAGCAGGCUUGCUUGGUGGUACCCCCGUGCUCUUCCUUCUUCUGACAAAAUUUCAAGCCAUUAAGGAGAACAGGCAACAGCUCUGUCAAAGUCUUAGAGAUGCUUCUGGAUCAUCUUAAAGCAGGGAAAUAUUUGCAAGAACUCUAGCUCACAGAAAAUGGUUCAGGGGUAUUGCAGAAGGGAAAAAAAAUAGAAGAAAGGGAAAAAAAAAAAAAGGCCAUUUUAAUAUAUAUUUUAUGGUGUGGUUCUGUGAUUAAACUGUACAAUUGUACCAGUCCAGGUUAGCCCUCCUCCUCUGCAGAGACAAUAAUAUGAGGUGUGCACAUCCUCACUGUUCACAAAAAAGCUUUGGCCCUCCAAAAUAAUCUCAUUUCUUCCUGCCUCAACUACAGGAAAUUCCAUCAGAGAGAAAGGUCCUGAAACUAUGAAAGCUGGAGCCAGUGAAUCUGACCACAGAAGGACCAAUGAAACUGUUCAAAACCUCACCUAUAGGCUACAUCACCCUUGCUGCUCUUCUCAGUGUAGGUCGUGUAUUUCUGACAUCUCUAAUUAAAAGGAAAAACAAAAAUGCCAAUAGGCAGCUUUUCAAGUAGCAAGUCUUACUUCCAAAGGCUGACAUUGUUAGGAGCACAGAUUCAGCCUAUGUCUUCAGCAGCACUUCCUUGCACUCUAAUUCUUGCACAGAGAGCCAUUUGUGUCCUUUCUAUCAGCGAGGUAGAAGGAACACAUAAGGAAGCAAGAGCACGUAACCAAACACAAGAAUAGAAAGAGGAUGUCAUUAAAGGAAUUUUGGUGAAACUUUCUCUCCCAUUUGGUGGCUUUUGCUUUAUUCUGGAUACCCUUCACUUCUUCAGAGUUUGCGCUAACAAAUUCACACCCAGGGAUUGAAGUAAACCCAUCACCUGGACUCUAUGAAGUGCAUAAGGAUUCCAUAGCUGUGUAUUUGUCAUCCAUCUCCAGGCUUUCUAGUUGCAGGAUGGCGAAGUACUGCAGGAUAAACUGUGUGAUGAAAAAAGCAGAAACAAAAUCUUGUACUGUUCCUUUUGGAUUCCUAUGUGAAUUAAAGAGGUGAAUUAAAGAGGUGCAGAAGGAUGAGUUCUAAAUUGAUACUUCUCAUUCCAUGAUCUCUGGAGGUCCCUAUCAACCCCUACAAUUCUGUGAUUCUAUGACAAUUCUAAUAAAGAUAGCAGGGUACCAACACUGAAAGCUGGAUCAGGUUCACAUUCCCACUAGCAAUUCUGUAUACCACAUUUCAGAUCUUCUAUUAACCUCUACUGAAGUUUCAGAUAGUACCUCUUACGGGUACAGAAUUAUAUCCCCGUGUUUCAUAUAGCCUUCACUUCACUGUUUUUCAGGUAUAAUGAGGUGAUGAGCUGAGGAAUAAAAAGGAAGAGAAUGGGCAGGGUAAGUACGUAGACACCAAGAGACUAUAUGUAUUUAUUACUUCAAAGUGAAAAUGCAUCGCAGACAGGAAGGGGAAAAGGCACUCAGUAAAAGUACUUUCAGCAGAGCAAUUUAAAAUUAUUCACAUAUUCCUUGGAAAGAAUCCAUAGCUCUUUCAUCUGGUAACAGUAGUACUGUGUUCGGAAACAGCACUUAGAAAUGUUGGAUUAAACAGCUAUCUUGUAAAAAUCAGGUGGAGGCCAUUAGUCCCAUUCAUCUGUAACCAGCCUUAAAACCCUCCUAAGAAAGCAGAGAGAUGCAGCAAAGGGCACGUGUUAGGAGGAAGGAAAAGCACUAGUGAUACAAAACAAAAGCGUUGCUGUUGUGAUUUUUCUUCUUCAAGGGUAAACUUGGUUGGCCUGAUGGUAAUACCUGGUUAACAGCUCCAUCUCACCAAUGGCUCCACCGCCACGCAGUGCAUGCUUACAGACAGUGGUAAUACAAAGGAAUGGUCAGAACUGGAACGGCCCUUUCAUAGAUUAACACUUAACCUUUGCAAGUUCAUAGAAUCAUUGAGUCAUAGGAUCACCAAGGUUGGAGAAGAUCCACAGGAUCACCCAGUCCAACCAUUCACCCAUCAGCAGUAGUUCUCAUUAAACCACAUCCCUCAGCACAACAGUCCAAACAUUCCUUGAACAUCCCCAGGGUUGCUGACUCCACCACCUCUCCAGGCAGCCCAUUCCAGUGCCUAUUCACUGUUUUCAUCAUGUACUUUCACACACUGAGAGUCUCUUAAAGCAACGUAAAGACAGUAAUUUACACACGAAGGUGCUGGAUGCAUUUUACACAUAGGCAACUUGCAGCACCAAAGUCAACAUCCUCACCUGAGGUAAAGCAUAAAGCUCUGGUAAUGAGGAGCACAAAUGCAUGGGGCCAGAUCUUCUGCUUAGCAACACUGCAUUGAAAUAAGUGGAAAUAAGGGGAUGUGUAGGUAACGCUUGGUUUUGAAUCAGCUGGUCUGGCCCAGGGAGUGCAGACUGCAAACAAAGCAGUAUGGGUCGAACGGGAGCACAAAUAGAGCCCAGCCAGACCAGGCAGAGAGGAAGCUCUGUGGGCUGUAACAGCACGGAUUCCCUCUUUAGUUAUAGCUGUCACUCCAAAUAGCUCCUGAAUAGUACUUUCAUGAAAAUUCCACUGCUAAAAUAAUAAACAAGCAAGUAAAGUAGGGGCCAUAAAUACAGAAAUAAAGAAUAAAAAUAUACCUGUGUGCACAUUUAUACAUGUGUGUAUGUGUAAAGAUGUACACAGAGAGAGAAAUGUUCUCAGUUAAACCCCAAACACCACAGAAAAAGAAUUUGGUGUUCUUGCAGAGCCUAUGGACAGAAAAAGCCCAGCAACUGUGGCCAUUAAAGAUAUAGAGUAGAUUUCUUUAAAAAGCAAGAGGGGAAAACCCAGGAGUCAUCAGGGUGCCUUUCAUUAGACGGGCCAGCUUAAUUAAUUAAUUUGUUCAAUUUGCUGCUCUUCUGUGCAUCAGUGUAAAUGCAGACUCAAGAGCAGGAGGCUAGAGGUGAUGGGAAUGAAGCUCAUUAGGAAGCAAUAAAGAAGGAAGAGACACCAGAAAAUGAAUGCUAGUUCAUUGGGAGAAUUCUUAAAAAUGCCAUUUGUCUUCAUGACACAGAGGGAGAAGAGCUUGGCGAGCCUGUGCAUAUGGUUAGCUUGCAGAGACCUUUGGCUCCUGCUGGCCUUUGACCUCAGCGUUUCAAUCAAGGCAGCAUGAGGCUGUGAACAGGGCCACCUCUUAGCAUCCAGUAACUGCAGCUCUUAAAGAUCACAAGCCAAAUACAGAGCAAAUAAAGACAUACAUCUUUUUAAAGACACCAAAUACGGGAUUUCAGCAGAUUGUAGGUGACUAAUAUAAAUGCUGGAAGUCUGGCACAAUGCUGAUACAAAUCUGAAAAUCCAAAGUGAUUCACACCCUAGCCUUUGGCACACCUUGCAUCCCAUAUGCUGACAUUUCACACCCUCUGGUCCCCUUUGACCCACAGUCCUUUUUCUGCCCAUCUGAACUCAGCCCACUGCAUAUUUAUUUCCAAAUGAACAGGCACAAACCAACCUGAGCUCCUCACAGAACAGUACCGACAACCCUUUUCACCACAGCUCGAGGUAUGGACAGCCAUAUGGAUCUGUGGAACACAUCAGAGAUCUUGCAACCAGCAUUUAUCCUUCUUGCCAUCUUUCACACCAAUCAAGGAGCUGGAGCAGUGCCGCUGGGUAGGAAAAAAGAACUCAAAUGCAGGAGCAAAACCCUAAGAGCAGGGAGCUGCAGCAUUCCCCAGGGAACUAAGGAUUUGGUCCUUCCUUCUCAGGAUCAUUUCUGCAUUCCUGGGGAUGAGUGAGAACUUCACCUACCAGUAGAAAUCUCUGCUCUCUUCCUAGCCCAGCGCAGAGCUCUCACUGCAGGGGUAGGUUACACGCUUGAAUAAAGAAUCAAAUCUUACUUUCUUAAUUGCUGCCUGAAACAAAUGGAAUCAAAACCCAAAAAAACUAAAAGUGGGCAUUGAAGUAAGUUUAUUUGUCAAAAACUCUGACAAAGAGAGAACUUUCCCACAUUUCUAUACAAACUUCAGUGUAAUUGCUCUGGAACCAGCACACUUUCUCCAGCCAAAAUCAUAGAAUCAUAGGAUGGCCUGAGUUGAAAAGGACUACAGUGAUCAUCCAGUUUCAACCCUCCUGCUAUGUGCAGGGUCGCCAACCACCCGACCAGGCUGCCUAGAGCCACAUCCAGCCUUGAAUGCAUCCAGAGAUGGGGCAUCUUCAGCAUUACCAAGUGAUGGUGCACAUGCAUGAGGCCAGAGGAAGGCUGGAACCCCCUGGUGAGGGGAGACUGUGGCUGGGGAGCAGAGAGGGGUGUAGAGCUGUAUCCUGGGCUCAGCCUGAAGGAUGCACACAGACCAUGGCUGACCACUGUUGUACCCACAUCAAGUCCAGAGAGGCCAGGAGCCGUGCUGAUGUGAGGAGUCAUCCUCUUGUAACUGCAGUUAUCAAAUUAUGCAGUCAGUGCAAGCUGCUUUCCCAGGAGGUUUACCAUCACUUUGUCCCUGUCUGCUCCAAACCUUCCUGAAGAAGGUGUUUUCCCCUCUCUAAGCAGAGCAGCAGUGGUCAUUUUCUGUGCACUUCUUUUGUGCUUCACCUGGCCAGGGGUUGCCAAUGGGCAUCAGUCACCUCUUUUUCCUCCACUGAGGCACAGAGCCAGCAGUCCUUCCAGGGAAUCUCUGCAAUCUGAGACAGCCAUAUCCCAUAAAUAAGUCAGACUCAAUUAUUUUAUAUCAAAACAGUAUCUUAGUGUUUAAUGAGUGCAACUGCCAAUACAAAGAGUCACGCAUUAUGAAUCACUAUUUUCUCCUUCCCAGCACUUUCUAAUUUCCUGCUAAGGAGACAAGCUGAAUGGGGUCAUUAAUCUGAAUUAGAAAUACUGUGACCUGCUCGGCACUUUAUCCGCUAACAUUUUCUGGCAUAGCAAUAUAGGAUGGGAUUUUGUAUUUCAGACAACAGUGGGAUGUGAGAAAUGCAGGCUCUCAUUUUAAAUAACCUCAGGAAGAAGGGUAUUUUUACUAGCAAACUCUUAAGUUUAAAUGCAGCAUAGGAUUCUUUGCCUUGGAGCUUCACAGAAGGUAAGUUGAGCAGACAGCAGAUAACAUUCUUCUUAAACAAGCUAGCCUGGGGACUUUUCUCCUCAACCUUCCAAUUAGAUAUUGGAGUACUUUUGAAAUUACAUGGAGGAAUGAGAUCAUAAAACCACUAUAAAGAGAAAUGUAAAAAUAUGAAAAGAGUGUAAGGAACAGUAACGCUCAGAAAACACAGGCAGAACAUUGUCCCUGGUCUCAUUUCCUAUUUACACUGCAAUUUUCCUCACCUGAGUCCCCAGAAGCCCUGACAACAGAUGGGUCACUCUGAAUCUACGCUCCUCAGGCAGAGCUGUGCUCUAAACUCUAUGAGAGUGCUCAAAGACAAACAUGGCAGAGCCCGAGGGGUCCGCUAUCUGAAAACAUUUAUGCAUUCAAGUUGGGCUUUCUUUUUUUAAUCCUACUUUUAUUAGACUAAAAUGGAAAGUGCGAGCUCUAGUGAUGGAGCACAGCCCCAUUGUGCAAGGCACAGAAUGAAUGCAGCCCAACAAAAACAAUACACCAGAACUGAGACCGAAGCACUGCCCGGACCUGUUGCCAGCCAUUCUACAAAGGAAUGCACUUCCCUCCAAAUAACUUUCCGCAGAUGGAUAAUCCCAGCAAAGUCAGUGGGAGUUUUCCACAGGCCUUAAGCUGCUCCUGGAAACAAGAAUUUCCAGCCUGCAGCCCAAGGCCCUGCAUUUCCAGAGCUGCUGGCAGCCGCCAGCUGGGGCUCUGCAUGGUGAGCGGCAGCGCAAGGAGAGGGAAGCGCUGGCGGAGGAUGCUGCAGCAAAGGCAGCACGUGCAUCUAGCACGACAGGGAGCAGCCAAUUCUCACUACAAAUUGUUUGGUAAUUAUUCUCCAUUCCCUGUAUACAUUUGAGAAGCCAAUAAGGUCAGAAGCCAGUAGUAAAACUUUUUUUUCUCUUCUUCAGUAAAGUCAUAAUUUUCCCCUGCCUACAGCAGUUUUACUAUGCCAAGUUCCCUUCAGCAUUUCGCUUUCCUUAGUUCUAAGUCAUCUUUCCUCCGGCCCAAACCUCUGCCUCCCAGCGUGUCAAAUUCAUCAUCGGGUUUUGAUACCACGCUAGAAAGCUGUAUUUUAUAGCACAGUUCUCAGUUUUGCAAAUCUCACUGCUAAACGUGUAUGAAGGCAGUCUACACAUUGGAGCCAAGUAAAUGAACUUGGGCUGAAGAGAUCGGUUUACAGCUGCUGAGAUUGCUGUGCUUCGGCUACUGGCUGUGUGCCGCCCUCAGGCAGGUGACAGGCACCUGUACUUCAGCAUCCUCUCAGCCUGUGCCACAGUGGAGGAGGAGGAGAAAUGUUAAUGUUGUGCUCCUGAAGCUUAUAGAUAUUAAGAAAUAGAUUUUAGAAUCUCUCCAAUUUUUGCAGAACGGAUUCCUCUGUGAAUGAGCGGCGUUGCGGUGCAACCCUUCCUCACCUUUGCCUACCACAUGGCAGGACAACAUAACAUAGAAAGCCGGUUCUUGAAGCAAGAUGAGCACUGACAGGUGGGCUGAUUUCUUUCGUUAUGGGACGUGAAGAUGUUUACGCCAUGGGAGAGUUUUCUCUUCAGUGCGUACACAUGGCAAACAAUGCAAUGUCCAGCCACAGGACAACUGAUCUCCUGUUUCUGUUCAUGUCUGCCGGUGGCAGCAGAGAGGAUGGAACUGGAGAAGAUGAAGGUGUCUGUAUGAUUGCCCACCACUUGCUUUCUUCCUAAGUUUACCCUCCCCACGGGUCUCUUUCUUGUUACUGGGAUGUUCCCAUAGAUGAUGCAACUAUUUCCUUUAAAUUAAAGGCAUUCCGUGCUGGAAAACAUUAAAGAGGGCAAAGAGACAAUUAUAAUUAAACAUCCAGUGUCAAAAAAGAGCAGGGUGGCCUUUAAAAGCCUGCUUCUACUUAGAAGUAACCUAUCUGCCGUAUAAUCAGAUCGGGCCUCCUUUUAUUCAGCAGAAAGAAUUGCAAAUGGCAGUGCUUACGACCUGUGGCUUGACCACUGUUUUAAUAUCAGGAAACAACUUGCUCUGCGCUGUGCCAGCACCGCACCGUGCUCUUUUAUUUUUUCCUAUUUUCAGCCACUGGCUGUAAAAAAAAAUAAAUUACAUUUUGGCAAACGGUGAAGAGUGCAGGAACGGCUGGUCAGCAGUCCUUCUAUUUCAGCAGCCUGGCUCUGCCAGCAGCUUUCAGGAGAGCCACCUCCUCUGCUCGAGCUUUACAGGUUGCUGCUGUCACAAAGCCUCACUCAUGGCUGUGCACCCCCAGGCCAGGCACCAGUACCUCUCGCUUGGCUUUGAGGACGGUCCAAGCAGUCAUCUCAUUGACCUUCCUCACUGCACGCUGCUAACCUUUGAGAAAUUCCAUUGUUCCUCAAAGAAAACCUCGUGAUUUUCCACUGACGCGUUCCCAGUGCUGGGCAGCACCCCUGUCCUCACAGCGGGUCGCGAGGCGUUGAGGACAACAAACCCUAUCCCCAAACAAAUUCCUUGUCCAGUUUGAAUGGUGACACCCAUCAGUACAUCCGAAACUCUCUGACAUUUCCAUAUCCCAAUAAAGUCAAGCUGUAACACAUUCUAACACAUUUUUUUUUUCCUUACGCUGCCAUCCUGUUUUUCCAAAGGAAAUACAGCAGUUCUUUUCAUGGGCUUUUUGAGGAUUUUGGAGGCUGACACGCUGCCAUGCAGUAAUUCCUAGAAAAAGGAAAGUAGAACAACUGAACAUUUGAACUCCCACAAAUAACCUCCACAAUGAUUUUCCACAUGACCCAGAAGAAUUAUUUUUAGAACCAGAAAAGUAGUUUUAUUCUCUAUUUGUACUUAAUCCCUGCGAUGUUGGAUAGGACACUCACUAAGGAUGAGCGUUAUUAUUUCUCCAUGAUGCGCCUUUGUUUGGAAAGGCUAUAAUUCUUAGAAAUACCAGCCAUGAUGAAGACAUGCUGUUCUGAGCACUGAGUAAUGCAUGGGAUGAGACAGCUUCUGCCUCCUGAGAAUUUGCAACCAAAACGGACGAAUUAGAGAAAACAAGAUGAUGGAAGUCCACUUUGCAGACAAGGGUUCUUGAGCUUCCAGCUUUGCCCCCCAUUUGGUGUGAGCAGGACAGGCCACCAACCCUGCUGGGCCUUAGGCUUCGUUCCCCGUCCAAUGACAUGUAUCUAUCAAACCUUCAGUGACCGUAACGCCACAGGGAGAUAAAGAAGGUGGUGCCUUGCACAAGGUGGUCAUACUUCCCACACUUAUUUGCUAAUCUCUUAUUUCUACAGCUGAAGGACAAUCAGCAGCCAACGCCAGAUGCUGAGUAAGCAGCUGUUCUGUACGACACGGCACAGAGCUCUCAUUUGCAUGCUGCAGCAAAUGAAGCCAUACAUUCUAUUUAUUGUAAAAGCCCUUUACUAUAUACAUCAUAUGCAAAAAUAACACAAGUUCUGGUGCAAGCAACUGAAGUGCAUAGCAGCAAAUGGUCAUGGAGGAGCAAAGGAGAUGUGGACAGUGUGAUCUAUUAAGUCUCAAGAAAAUGCUGCUGCUCUCCACAGAGGGGUGAUUUUCUUACCAAUUAGUUUUUGGUGGGAUAGAAUAGGGUCCGUGCAUUGAAAAGCUCUGUUCAUGUAUUAUAGAAGUGUAAUGCAUAUAACUGUGAGAUCAAAUACAAAUGCUCUGGCAAGUAGAAGCCCCACCAAAUACCUCAGCAACUAUUUCAAUAGCUAUUUUAGUAGCUAACAAUACACAUAAUCCGCACCUAUAAGUGCUCAUGUAUUUCUGGUACCAUCUCUAGAACUGGUAACAAGCACUUUGGGGUUUCAUCCGAAGUAGUGCAACACCUCAGAAACCUAUUAAAUGUGCCAUGUCAUCUCUCCUCAUGACACCUGUCACACGACACUGCUUAUUUUAAGUCAUUUUCACCCAGAGGGUGGUGAGGCACUGGAACAGCUUGCCCAAGUAGGUUGUGGAUGCCCCAUCCCUGGAGGCAUUCAAGGCCAGGCUGGAUGUGGCUCUGGGCAGCCUGGUGUGGUGGUUGGCGACCCUGCACAUAGCAGGGGGUUGGAACAAGAUGAGCACUGUGGUCCUUUUCAGCUCAGGCCAUUCUAUGAUUCUAUGAUGUGUAUUAAUGUCCACAUUACAGAAGGUUAACUCCCUGUUCUCCUCAUUCUGUGGGUAGAAGCAGCUACGUGAUAGACUGUAGGAGUGUUGGGAUCAGCGUGGAACCACAUCUCCUUAACAAUAUGCAGGGCAGCUCAGCGUGCAGCCUUUCACAGACAUUCAGUUGCUGUGGACACACAUGGGAAUAUCCUCAGAACACAUCUGACAGACAAAACAAAAAUAUCCCAUCAGCCCUUCUUCAUUUCCCCCCUUCCAUGAGCCCUGCUCUGCCCCGUCCUGGAGAAAAUCAGAUUACUUUUCACACAACGUGUUGUGCCACUGCUGUUGGGUUACCCUGGCGGGGAGCAGGCUGUGGUGGAAGCUGGCACUCAGCAGGCACCAAGCAGCUCAAGCAGUCCCAUCCACAGCUCCAUGUCUACGUGCAGCAUCGACAUCCUCAGUUUGGUUUGCUUAGAAGGCUCUCGUCUUUAUCUGAUUUCUUUUCCUCCCUCCUGGGCAGCAUGUUCUCAUUUAGGCAAAUAGCAUUCUAGUUCUUUAAUUACAAUGCAGCAUAAUCAGAAACAAUUGGACAGGCAUCACCGAGGCACAAGAUAGAACAGCUUGUAACACAAGCCACGGUAUUAAGGCUGUAGACGAUUUUCAUUUAUUUCUUUAUUAAGGAACAUAAAUGAGGCCCUAAAUUAUUUGGAGAUGCUUAAAGAAUAUAGGUAUGAGCACUUGGUGAGUUAAUCACAUCCAGACAGAGGUCUAUUGGUAAUUUCUUUAAUUACAGUACAACUAAUCAAACACGGGAAACUCAAAAGAAUGGGCUGGUUCCUAUGGAUUAGGCCGCAGGGGUCCCAUCUCAUUUCAGCGACUUAACUCACAAUUUCAAGUAACGUAUUUUCAGCCCCAACUGCAGAACGCAAACUAAGCUGCACAGCAGAUGGUGAGGUUACCAUACCAUUUUCUGUGGUUUUACUUAAUACGGCUACAGCUGAGGUUUGGUGAAAAGAGAGCAUCAGCGAUAAGGUUAUCGAACGGGGCCUCCUUCUAUGCCGUUAGUACAGUCAGUUCAGCCCCGCUGCAAAAAAAUAAAUUCAUAUGCUCAUAGAAGUGAACUGGUUUCAAUCUUUCUCCAAAAGAGCAAAUAUAAUGAUCAAACAAAUGCAGCUGUAUGAGCUGCUUCUUUUAGCUGCUUUAAGGCAUUUCUGUUCAAGACUGAAACUUCCUUUCUUUAUAUCAUUACUUAGUUAUGUUUAUUUAGGCUUUGUCAAGUAUAAAAUUAAUUACUGUCAUUAGCUUAUGGUUUUCAUGAAUUGUAAUCUAAUUCGUUUUCUAAUUAUUUUAGCAUGAUUUUUUUCAUAUUUCUAGAAGUCUUCCUAUAAAAUAAUUAUAAGCUUAUGCUUGGCUAAUUCCGACAUAUAAAAAGAAUGAGACCAGUUAAUCAGCAGUGGAAAUCAACUCCUGCUAGAGAAGACCUAAAGAAUCUUAAACGCAUUCACAGUGACACGUGGAAUAAUAAUUACUUUAACAUGGCACUGUAAUGGAGGAGGUAACAGAGUAUAUUACAAUGCAUGAAAAUAAUACCCUGCCUUUAAUCCAACAUAUGGUUUUCAUGAAAGAUGAACUUAAAUUACAGAGCAACCAUGAAAAAAAAAUUAAAAAGUCAAGCAAGUGAACACAGGGACAGACAAUUUACUGCCUUAAUAUCAAUGCAGAAGGAAAAAUAUCUUCCUGGCAAAGCCAAUUCACACAAGGAUGAAAAGUCAAACUUCAGGGAAAUUCCCUUCAUUAAACAAAGCAAUUGGAAAGAAUGUAAGUGCAGUCCUUUGCUCUCCUGUCUUGAAAUAGAAAGGAAUUGCACAAACACUUUCAGAUAUAUCUAGGUUUUCAUGGUUAGAUUGUCAAUUGUAUUUCUGCAUCUUGAUUCUCCAAAGAACUUUGUAACUUCCUUGCUAAAGCUCAGUCAUAGUCCAACUAAUUCUCACCUUGAAUUUUCUAGGAGCCUGCUGACCUCAGGUGCACACAGUUAAUUCUUCUUAGCUAAUUUAUCUUAUCCUUCUUUUCAGCUAAUUCAAUUACUUCUUGAUUAGUGAUACAAGACAAGGAAGAAAUUAAAACUAACACAACAUUAAUGAGCAGCAGCAGAAAAUUCACUUAAAGGCUUUCCUGGGAGAAGCCUUUGGAAGACCCCGAUGACACAAGGAAUGAAGGGGAACGUCAGUGCUGUUCCCCCAAGUGGACCUGACACAGUGGGAUUGGCUGUGCGCUGAAACACUCACCUGAGCUGAUCUUGUUCAGGCUGCAGCCCGCGCUAUGUGCAGACAACACCAAGCUGAGUGUUUCAGUGGUGCAACAGAGGAAGGGAUGUCAUCCAGAGGAACCUGGAAAUGCCUGAGAAGUGAGCCCGUGUGAACCUACAAGGUUCAACAAGGCCAAGUGCAUGCUGUCGCGCUUGGGUCAGUGCAAUCCCAGAUAUGUGUACAGACUGAGAGAAGAACUCCUUGAGAGCAGCCCUGUGGACGAGGACAUGGGGGUCCUGGCGGACCAAAAGCUUGACAUGAGCCAGCAGUGUGCAGUUGCAGCCCAGAAGGCCAACUGUGUCCCGGGGUGCAUCAACAGGGGCCAGGUUGGAUGGAGCCCCAGGCAGCCUGAGCUGUUGGGGAGGAACCUGCCCAUAGCCAGGGAUGGGACUGUGUGGGCUUUAAGGUCCUUUCCAAUCCAAGCCAUUCUAUAAUUCUAUGAAGUUUCAGUGCCUCUACAUGUAGCAGGAUACCCUGCAUAGGUAUCCUAUGCACGUCUCCAUAGGUCUGUGCACAUCUGCUCUCUUUGGCACAUUCAGCAUCACCUCUGUUGCUCAAGGCAGUGCCUGCAAUAUGAUUUCUCAUGUGCCUCAGCUUUAUGUGCCCAGCACCACAUACUACACAGGGUGUCACACCAUGACCAUUGUCUCUCCUAUUCCUGUCUGUAGAGUCACCCUGCAGUGUCCUCUCUCUGCUGCAGAGCGUGGCCAUGGCCCCAGUACCAGGAAUGUUCCACUCCUGUGCAAACAGCGCUGCCUUCCAUGUCUGCUAGUGAUCCUGAUGAUACUGCAUCCAUUUCUAGGGGUCAGAGAAGCAAUCAGACAAUUUAAGAAAUAAUUACUGCUUACCGGUUUCUGCAAAGGAAUGAGACAUUCGUUAUAAGGUAAUUAUGGGAGGGACUUUUUCAUGACUUUUGUUGAAGGAACAGCAAUAAUUAAUCAUAAAGGAGAGGUCCCAGUCCACCCCUCCACGUUACCUGACUCUCCGACUACAGUUCCAAGCUACAAAUACCAAGUUAGAAUAAAUUAGUUCUGCCUAUUUUCAGUACAAGACAGUAUAUUUCCUCUUACAAAAAAUAGUUUUAAAACCCUCCUGGAGCAAAUGAGUUGAGGAAGAAGCCAGGUCUGUGGUGGAGGACAUAGACCUCUUCCAACAGCUAUGAACACCUGCUCCUUUUUGGAGAGUUGUGUAAUUUUCCUGAGUGCAAAUUCCCCAAUUAAGAAAAAAGAAAUGCAAAGAGUGACACUUCAUCAUCUCAUACAGGUAGAUGAAAAUCAAAACACCAGUGCCUCAGGGAAGCACUGAUCUCUGGUAUACACCAUCAAUAGAUAGCUAAAGACUAAACUGACAGUUAACUCAGAAAUUUGCUUAUUACUGAAGUGUUGGCUUAGGAUUAACCAAGUUAAGCUGCAGCACUGCAUACGAGUCCAAAUGCUUUGCUGUAUAUGCAUUCACAAGGAGCUUUGCUGGCUACAGAAAGGUUUAAUCAAAUACACCGAGGGUUCCCAAAACGUUCGAACAGAUACUUAGGCAGAACAUUCCUUCUACUAACUGUGCAUUUAGUUGUGGUGAGCUAAAUGCAGUGUUGCUGCAAAAAGUAGAGUUAUAAAAAAUACAGAAAGGCAUUCUUUUCUACCAUUUACAAUUGCGCAUGCACAGAAGCAGUUUACCUAAGUGGGGUAGCAUUCAUCUAGCUGUCCAUUCACAGCAUAUAAUGUUGUUAUCUUCACCACAACUAAAUGAUGCUGCAAAGUGUGAUUCUGGAUAAAGAGCAGUGGGGAAAGCUGUUGAACCCUACAAAAAUAAUCAUUCUGGAAAUAUGAAAAUGUGUCUUCUAUCACAGGCAAAAUAUAAUAAAGAAUACUUGCAGCCGGAUCAGUGGACAGUGAAAAGGAUUUUGCAGUUUGCCACAUAAUACUGCAGCCUGAAAUACUUCAGCAAUCAGAGCAGGAAGGUGUCUCCUGGUGCCACGCUCAGAGUCAUGCACGUACUCCUCCAGUUAGUAGCUGAAGAGCCAAGUACAUCAUUGAUUGAGGGGCCUUGAGCACCAGAGCAUGUUUCAAAUGAAAAGCUCUACACCCUGCCUCAAGAAUGUGUUUUUCUCUAGUGGCAAUUUGAGACACCCCACAUCCUUCAGUACUGUGCAGCUCUGCUCUCUUAGUGUUCUCUAACAUUACCAUAAACUUGGCUUGAAAAGAGACCCCUUUAAUCAAAGCUUACUUAACAACUGGGCUUUUGGAAUUAGGGGAUUGCCAAAGGACACAACUUAGUGUGACAAUGGUGAAUAGAAAUGACUUUGGCUUAAUGAGAAGUAUAAAUUCUGAUCCACAAGGAAACAACCACCUUGUGCCAACUGGGUAAGCAGAGCUUACACAGACAUUCAACACAUAUGAAAGUCUCAAAUCCAAUCUUUGAAUUACAAAAUUAUCAUAGAAAUGGAGAUGCACAGGUAAAUAUGACUGCUUCAUGCAAUGUCAUGGAUUAUUUUUUUGGUUAAGCCUUUGAAGCACAAUUUUGAGCAACACCUUUUGAUUGGGCUCCUCUACUAUUUAAAUGGUUUGCAUAUUGGUUGAAGAAGCCUGAUCAGUGUUGAGCUGUCACUGCCAUGUCCUCAUGACGUGUUGCAGACAAGUGUUCCAGUAGCUUCCAUGGCAAAGAACGUGCCAGCAGCAUCUCUUGCCAACACAAGUGAGGUCCUGCUCAGGCCACAUGGUGCCAUGCACUGCAGUCAUUCUGCAUGUAGACCUUGUAGGCUUCACGAGCUCUUUAAGGAACAGCAUUUCCUAGCAAAGCACAUUCGUAACUCUCCCAGAAACAAGGGUUCCAGUAUGACUCUGGUCAAAACCUGGUCCAAAGGAAGGUAUGCUUAUUUAUAUUCUGGAGACAGAUUUGAGCCCUCAGUAUCUUAUUUCCCAUAUUAACUUCAACAAAGCGUGCAUUUUCCAAGGCUUGCUAAUGAGCCCAGCAUACUUAGGAAAAAAUUUGAAAUAUACAAACAAACUCACUGUCAGAUGGGUUUUUCCAAGGCCUGGACUGAAGCUCAGGGAAGUAGGAAAUAAAUGUUAUGUCCCUCCAAAUCUCUUACAAACUCUGACGAAGAAAAAAGAAAAAGCAACCUGAUUCUCAGGCCAAAUCUCCCAGCUGCUUUUGCAAUUCAUGACGGGUCUGGCUGAAGAGUCGGUUCAUUUUUCUAAAUCCAGUUCCUUCUCACAAAAAAAAAAUGUUAUUUAAUAACAUUCAAAUCCUGCUUAUUUUGAGCUUAAAAAACAAACUUGGUUAUAAGACAGUGCCUUUCCCUGCAACGCACUUUCACUCAUACGUGAAAACACCACUUUGAUGUUUCUUUUGGAAACAGCACGACUCUGCCAGAAGCAGAGCUGUUACUCAGAGAUCAAGACGUUUGAGAAGAAAAUUAUCUAAUAAAGGUAGAAUGAUAAGGAAAGUAAAAUGCUGGUGAUCAGUGAAACUGCCAAAGCGUGCAAGGCAGUAAAGCUCUAGGAACUACGUGUCAGAAUACAACCGAUGGGUGAGCAACCAGCGCAAGCUCCAAGUGCCAAAACAUACAAGUGUCAGUUUUUGAAGGAUAUAUUUCACCAUCUAUCCUGUGUUUCAUCAGUGCUAACCAGCACUGAAUUCUCAAGGACUCUUCUACCUUCUUGCAGGUGUAGCAUUUUCAGCAAUUCUCUACCUAGCAAACGUUUCUGUUUCCUUUACAAAUAACAGGGAUUUUGUACCUAGGCUGUUGUAAGCAGAAAUCAGAAAGCAUUUCUGCACACAGCUCUUCAUGCAGUUGUGUAACUCUGGGUUCGAAUACACGUGUAAGCUGUAAUCCAACUCCUCUGAGCAUGUCCUUCUUGCUGUUCGAUUUUUCCUGUCAAAACACACAAAAAUAACCAUAUAGGAACCGAAUGUGUUUCUCAGAAAUGCAUAUGCUAGGUUUGCCACAAAGCCUUUUUCCACUCCCAAGAUCCAUUACUCAAAAUAGCUGUAGCUCUGAAGUACUGCCAAAAGACUGGCAAGUCACAAAGCAGCUUUCAUAUGUGCUCCGUUUCUCACCUCCCAAGUGAGGGUGAAGGGGUCUGGAGAGGUCCUGCGCAGAUCAAACCUUUUUUCUGCCACAGGUAGCAGAAUCCUGUCUGUAUGCGGCUUCUUCUCAUAAUAAGCUCAUCUGUAAGUACGCUGCCUGUGCUGAAAAGGAGUAAAUAUUAGAACUGCUGACAUUUUAUAAACUUCAGCUGAAGGAAUGGGCCUCAGGCAGGGUAUCUGUAAUGCCACUGCUUACAAGGAGACAGCCACUCUCAGCUCGCAGACAAGUGCACACAGUUUUGGUUGGUGAAAACUUAGGGAACAAGUUAGAACGCAUUACAUUAAAUCACACCAGCAUUUGCAAACUGUUCGUGAAAGGAGAAGCCUACUAAGGCCAAACUGAGUCACCUGAAAUGGGACUUGUCACCAGACAAGCAGGCUUAGAUGAAAACUUGCUUCAUCAGACUAAGUUCUCUGGCUAGACAUUGUUCCAUGCUUCCUGAGCAUGUCCUCACUUUCCAACAUGCAGCACAGCCACAGUCACCUUCCUGUUCUCUUCCAUGAACAUGAGACAAGAGGCCUCCUUGGUAAGCCAGGCAUUUGGAGACUGAAGGGAGGAUGGAGACAGCAUGGACUCCAUCACGCAGCAAACCUUCCUAGGUGUCCCAGAGUGCCACACCACGGCACGAUGUGAGCCAGGUGCCAUCCAACACAUGCAGGAACACGUCAUCCUGAGGGAGGGAAACAGCAGCAACCUGGAGCUCAGCAGCUCACGUCGCCUCUCCUCAGAAGCCAGUUCUGUGGUAUUUCAGGGAACAGGGCUCCAAGCCAAGCCCCAGAUCUAUGGGACGAUGAGGACUUUGAGAAUUCCAGAGUUUGCCGCUCCAAAAAUACACUGUUUGACCAGCCUACUGUCAGAGCGAUUCCUACUAAAACAAACAUUUAACAUGUGCAAAUACUAAAAGAUGAAUUUCCUGUUUGAACAGUCAGCACAACAGAAUAUUGCCAAAAGAAUCAUUGCAACAUCUGUCAAUGUAACCAACCAGCUACCAGUCAGAAAACAGGACAGCCACAGUUUGUCAUCAAGAGGAAGAAGGAACGUCCCAGCAAAGACUUCCUAUAUCCAAACUAGCCCACACAGACAAAUGGAGGAUAGGGUGCAAGCAAGACGGUCACUGGCAUCUCCUGCCCUUCCCUUUGUAGCCAAGUUAGCCAACAACCAGCUGAGCAGUGAAAGAACCUUUGGUAUGCGGCUGGAGGAGCACAGGAAAGCAGGAAAGGAACCAUCCUCUGAGCAGGGAUGAGUUUCAGCCUCGUUCUACCACCAUGGCUCUGCCCUCCCCAGGUUUACACCAAGUGCUUAUGAUCACAGUGCCACAUGUCCACAACAGAUAUGCAAAGAUGUUGCAGUGAUGGCAAUGACAAGUGACUAAUAUCAACAAGAUACCUGGCUGCCAUUUCUUUUUAUAUAAAUACUUCCCAUGUCUUUGCUCAUUUUCUUAGCAUCCACAUCAUUUGAAUAGAUGCAAGUCAUUAAUGGGGCAGAUCACAAGCUUUUCAUCUGUGACCAAAGUUUUUAAAAGCAAGAACGACAAAACAACACAGUACUUUGAAUGAACUGACAAUAAAAAUCAUUACAAGCUCACAGCAAGUUGAAAUACUUUGUUUCAUUUUUAACAGUUUUUAAUAAAAAAGGCUACCAGACCAACCAAACAAGGGCAGGACAGUG
Gallus gallus (chicken) is the source of this 22218-nucleotide long non-coding RNA. NCBI's taxonomy places the organism in Eukaryota, Metazoa, Chordata, Aves, Galliformes, Phasianidae. The record is from Ensembl.